RNAcentral lists this ribosomal RNA (253 nucleotides) under uncultured bacterium. Its description in RNAcentral is "partial 16S ribosomal RNA". It matches the Rfam family "Bacterial small subunit ribosomal RNA", at positions 524 to 776 of the family's 1533-position model. The record is from RNAcentral.
UACGAAGGGGGCUAGCGUUGCUCGGAAUCACUGGGCGUAAAGCGCACGUAGGCGGAUUGCUAAGUCAGGGGUGAAAUCCUGGAGCUCAACUCCAGAACUGCCUUUGAUACUGGCGAUCUUGAGUCCGGGAGAGGUGAGUGGAACUGCGAGUGUAGAGGUGAAAUUCGUAGAUAUUCGCAGGAACACCAGUGGCGAAGGCGGCUCACUGGUCCGGUACUGACGCUGAGGUGCGAAAGCGUGGGGAGCAAACAGG